CGUAAUCUGGAAUAUAUCCGUUCCGCUAAGAGAUUGAAUGCGCGUCAAGCUCCUUGGGCACUAUUUUUUACACGUUUCGAUUUCAUCAUCUCUUACCGCCCUGGCUCGAAGAACGUCAAGCCUGACACGUUGUCCCAUCUCUUUGAUUCCUCGGCCACUGUCACACCCCGGGAAGAGAUUAUUCCUCCCGGUUACGUGGUGGGUAUUAUGGUUUGGGGAAUCGAGAGACAGGUGAGGCGCGCUCUUUCUCGCCUCGAAGCUGCCCUAGGGGCAGUCUCUGUGUCCCGUUGCCUACACGCCUAGCCGUCCUUCAGUGGGCUCAUUCAUCCAAAUUAACUGCUCAUCCUGGCAUCCGGGGUACGAUCGCAUUUAUCCAUUAGCGUUUCUGGUGGCCGACCUUAGACCGUGAUGUGCAUCAUUUCAUCCUGCUCUGUCUUUGCCCAGACCAAGGCGGGCAAUUCCCCACCUGCUGGUCUCCUGCGGCCGCUACGUAUUCCUACUCGCCCGUGGUCCCAUUUAGCUCUCGAUUUUAUUACCGGUCUUCCCCCCUCGGCUGGUAAUACUGUCAUCUUGACCGUAGUCAACUGUUUUUCUAAGUCUGCUCACUUCAUUCCACUUGCCAAGCUCCCCUCUGCCAAGGAUACUGCCCAGAUUAUGGUUAAUAAUGUGUUCAAAUUUCAUGGGCUGCCAACUGACGUCAUGUCCGACAGGGGUCCGCAAUUCGCCUCGCAGUUUUGGAAAGAGUUUUGCCGCCUCAUUGGUGCUACCGCCAGCCUUUCCUCGGGUUUUCAGCCCCAUACUAAUGGUCAGGCCGAAUGGGCCAAUCAAAUUGUUGCCCGCAUUCUCCGCAGUCUAGCCUUUCAUAACCACGCAUCCUGGGCAGAAAAGCUUCCCUGGGCUGAAUAUGCUCAUAACUCUUCCAUCUUCUGCCACAGGUCUCUCACCCUUCCAGUGUUGCCUUGGUUAUCAAACCCCUUUAUUCUCGUCUCAAGAGACCAAUUCUAACUGCCCAUCCGUUCAAACGUUCAUCAGUUGUUGCAAGCGAACUUGGAGGAGGGUAAGAUCUGCCCUUUGUCGUUCGAGAAGCGCAUGAGCAUCGCAGCCAAUAGGUCUCGUGUCAAGAGCCCUCGCUAUAUUUCUGGUCAGAAAGUGUGGCUUUCUACUUCCAAUUUACCUCUCCAAUCUGAGUCUCGUAAACUGGCACCCCGUUUUAUCGGACCAUUCCGCAUAGUCAAGAUCAUUAACCCUGUCGCCGUCAAGCUUCGUCUGCCACCUAAUUUUCUUCGCGUUCACCCUGUAUUUCACGUUUCUUGCAUAAAACCUGUUAACCGCUCACCCCCUCGCUCGUCUUUCUCCGCUGUUCGUAUUGAGGGCUCUCCUGUCUACACUGUCCGCAGGAUCUUGGACAUGUGUCUUCAUGGGUCGUGGGCAUCAAUAUUUGGUCGAUUGGGAGGGGUAUGGUCCUGAGGAGAGAAGCUGGGUUUCCCCCCGGGACAUCCUGGACCCCUCGCUCAUUGAUGAUUUCCUCCAGUCUCGCCAGAGUUCCCCCUCGGGAGCGCCAGGAGGAGCUCAUUGAGGGGAGGGUACUGUCAUGAUCCUGUCUCUUUCUCUAUCUCCCUCUGCUGGUUACUCACACACUCUAUUCCCCAUCACUCUCUGUUUCAUUACUGACAGCUGUUUUCACUUUCCAUUAGGCUUGUUCCUCCCCACCUGUUCCUCAUCCCGUCUCAUUAUGUUGGCUUCUUCUAACCCUCUCUUUCCCCGUCUUGUUGUCAGAUUGUUUGAUGUCACAGAUGUGUAUUGACCAGUGUCUCUUUCACUUGUCCUGUCAUGUUUUGUCGGGGUAUGCUACGAUAUAACUUCCACUGCUGGAAUUACUUUGUGCUUGUCAUUGUACAUCCACAGAACCUUACCUGCUAAAGACUGCAACAGUUUACCUGCUCGGUGCUCUCCGACCGUCUGCCCCUUCGUGAGCUACAAGUGCCUCCGCCUCGCCAGUCCUCUGAUCACCCCUACCACAGAGGAGCUUUGUGUUCACGUUAUUAUACCAAGCCUACGGGUUUCUUCAGUUUGUCAUUCUCUAUUAUUUCUGUUUGGAUUACCUGUGGUCAGACUUUGAUUCGAUUAAAGAACUGUAAUCGUCACCCUCGCGUUUGAGUCCUCUCUACACCUUCACAGAUUGCUUCAUGUAUAAGAACAGGCACCAGAGAAUCUCUGCAUUUCUUUGCAUUUGUCACAGCACGACUUCACUGGGAAAUGGCCACUGCAGGAAAGGUGAUUAAAUGUCGGGCUGCUGUUGCCUGGGAGCCCAAUGCGCCUCUGGUAAUAGAGGAAAUAGAAGUCGGCCCACCUCAGGAAGGAGAAAUAUGAAUUAAGGUGGGAAAUGUCCAAUGAAAGUUGUCACAAACCUAAAGAACUAAUUGAAAAUCAGUUGUUAAAGCAUGUAACACCAUUAACUAUUAACUUGUUCUGGUAAAUUUGGAUUUUCGCAAUCAAAAUUUUAUUGUUUCACCAAAAAGCAACAAUGAUUAGGUACAGAUGAAUCUCUUGGAUGAUCUUAUCAGCUGCUUUCAUAAGUCAUUGUUUAAAUUUCAUUCAUUUGUAAUGAUUGACAGAUGUUUGGCAUUUGUUGUACACA
Long non-coding RNA from Cyprinus carpio (common carp), 2638 nucleotides. RefSeq lists it as uncharacterized. The record is from RefSeq and is a predicted model, not a curated record. Lineage: Eukaryota; Metazoa; Chordata; Actinopteri; Cypriniformes; Cyprinidae. The transcript is spliced from 2 exons.